Molecule: long non-coding RNA, 964 nt
Organism: Haplochromis burtoni (Burton's mouthbrooder)
Lineage: Eukaryota; Metazoa; Chordata; Actinopteri; Cichliformes; Cichlidae
Exons: 4
Source: RefSeq, a predicted model, not a curated record
CCCCUCUGGUUUUUUUCCACAGAAGAGCGCUGACUUCACCGCACACACCCACUACCUUUUCACAGCUCUUCAGCCAAUCACCUGGCAGAGAGCAACAAACUGCCAGGUCUGUGUCCUUCGGACUACUGGGAAUUAUGACUGUACUGUGUCCUGUGGUCCUCCUCCUACUGCUUUUCCUGGUCCUUGUAUUUUUCUGUCUAAAAAAGAGAGAGAAAUUGCAGCUUUAUGACUCUGGAGACACUGGAGGAAUCCCACUCAAAUCUAACACGGAGGCACCAGAGGACAGCAUGGCUUGGGAGUAAUAACAGGUAAUAAUGACAAACUACCUGUGUCUUCCAAAUGGGAACAGAAGAGGAUGGGCAGCAUUCAGGGGACGUGGCUCUGUAGCUGACUCAGAGGUCACGGUCUGAACGCUUGGCUUGUUACUGGGGUAACAAUGUAAAAACAGAACAAUCAAGUGGUGCAGGUUUGUAUCUGCUAUUCUUUGUUGCUUUAUUUUGUUGUUGUUGAUGUUGUUGUGUUUUUUGUUUUUAAGCAAAAGUGGUUUGCACUAAAAACUAUGUAGAUGCAAUAUUUUGGAGCUUUGUACGUCAGCAAUAAAUUCUCUAAAAAAAUUAUAUCUUUAUUUUUGGAGGGUAAGUUUUAAUUAAAACAAAUGCGUCAUGAAACAAAAUAACAAUUACCUAAUAUUUCAAAAUAUGUAAUGUAAAAUUACACCUUCAUAAUAAUCUAUUUUAAGCACAGUUGAUUUACUUCUGCAGAAUUUCCUAAAGGCACAGAAAUUGUGUGCAACCAUGUUUUACUUCAACUCGCUGACUGUGAGACGGGUGCAGUUUGAGCUCACUGUAAGUCAGGUUGUUGAAACAUUUCCAACAGUAGUCGUGUUACAAUCUGCACGAGGGCAGAACUGGAGCACUAACGUGUUACUGCCUGAAACUAAAUACAACUGGCUGCACAGGAAAAA